GAAAAAACCGUUAAACCGACCGGAAAAGCGCGCGAACAGGGAGUCUGACAUGAAGACAAACGUUUUCUGAGAUGGUCCUGUGCACAUGUUUCCCUCCCAUUGGCUCUGGGUCCGACCCUGCUACCGGCACAGCACACUCAGAUCUGCAUAAAAGGACGCUUUCACCCCGUCUGUUCCACCCCGUCUGCACACACACACACACACACCGCUGAGGAGAGACCGGCACAGAGAUGCAUGCGCAGGAGAGGCAGUUUUGACAAUAGGAGCGUCACCUCAGUCUUCCUCCACCAGAGGUCAGUGCUGUUCAACAAUACUGAAGCGUCCGAAAAACCUAGAAAGUCACCUUGAUAGUGAAACACACAAUCUGAUGGUGCUUUCUAUGAUCAGCUACCUUUUUGGGGACUUGGGAUUGGGAUGAAGGAUCUGUCGUUCAAUUUGUUACCUGUCCAAAUCUUUCAUCGGUAGAUUGCCAGACUACGCCUAGAACAAAGAUUAGAGUUGCAUGUUGGGGCAAGGAUGAUGUUCGUCCAGAAGUUUGAUAAUCAAGGCCUUGGUCAUACGUCAAAGAAUUAAGGUUGCUUCGGACGCCCUUGUACCUCGACUGUUGACAGCAAUAUUUGUGUUUGGUGAGUUUAUGUUUAUAUUUCUAUUUGAUGUCACGUUUGCAGCAAAAGCAAACAAAUAAAUUUUGUAUGAUGGACAACCCGUACUCCGCCUGUUGAAGUCGUGCCAGAAAAAUGCCACUGUUGUUUACUCAUCAAAUAUAGACAUCUAUAAAAACCACUUCAAUUAUUUGCCCAAGCAAACACGCUCUUUGCCUUUUAGACAUUAUUGAUUACCUUCAGAGAAUUACAGCGUUUUUCUAAGAGCGAUGAUCAAUUACUUGUCAAGCGAUAAGAGACUGUAUGACAUAGAAACGGUGAAUUAUUGUAAUAUCGCUCUGGAUUUGCUGAUGAAAGUGAUACAGAAGAACAUGUCAAACAUCAGG
This is a long non-coding RNA of Megalobrama amblycephala (Wuchang bream), 988 nucleotides long. RefSeq lists it as uncharacterized. NCBI's taxonomy places the organism in Eukaryota, Metazoa, Chordata, Actinopteri, Cypriniformes, Xenocyprididae. The transcript has 7 exons. The record is from RefSeq and is a predicted model, not a curated record.